CACGGGGAAGAACUAACAAGGAUUCCCCUAGUAACUGCGAGUGAAGCGGGAAAAGCUCAAAUUUAAAAUCUGGCGGUCUUUGGCCGUCCGAGUUGUAGUCUGGAGAAGUGCUUUCCGCGCUGGACCGUGUAUAAGUCUCUUGGAACAGAGCGUCAUAGAGGGUGAGAAUCCCGUCUUUGACACGGACUACCAGUGCUUUGUGAUGCGCUCUCAAAGAGUCGAGUUGUUUGGGAAUGCAGCUCAAAAUGGGUGGUGAAUUCCAUCUAAAGCUAAAUAUUGGCGAGAGACCGAUAGCGAACAAGUACCGUGAGGGAAAGAUGAAAAGCACUUUGGAAAGAGAGUUAAACAGUACGUGAAAUUGCUGAAAGGGAAACGCUUGAAGUCAGUCGCGUUGUCUGGGACUCAGCCUUGCUUUUGCUUGGUGCACUUUCCGGAUGACGGGCCAGCAUCGAUUUUGACCGUCGGAAAAGGGCUAGGGUAAUGUGGCACCUCCGGGUGUGUUAUAGACUUUAGUCGCAUACGGCGGUCGGGAUCGAGGAACGCAGCGCGCCGUAAGGCAGGGGUUCGCCCACUUUCGCGCUUAGGAUGCUGGCGUAAUGGCUUUAAACGACCCGUCUUGAAACACGGACCAAGGAGUCUAACAUACCUGCGAGUGUUUGGGUGGAAAACCCGAGCGCGUAAUGAAAGUGAAAGUUGAGACCUCUGUCGUGGAGGGCAUCGACGCCCGGACCUGACGUUCUCUGACGGAUCCGCGGUAGAGCAUGUAUGUUGGGACCCGAAAGAUGGUGAACUAUGCCUGAAUAGGGUGAAGCCAGAGGAAACUCUGGUGGAGGCUCGUAGCGAUUCUGACGUGCAAAUCGAUCGUCAAAUUUGGGUAUAGGGGCGAAAGACUAAUCGAACCAUCAGUGCG
RNAcentral lists this ribosomal RNA (910 nucleotides) under Sanguinoderma sp. RNAcentral describes it as "partial large subunit ribosomal RNA". It matches the Rfam family "Eukaryotic large subunit ribosomal RNA", at positions 47 to 950 of the family's 3401-position model. Lineage: Eukaryota; Fungi; Basidiomycota; Agaricomycetes; Polyporales; Polyporaceae. The record is from RNAcentral.